UCCGCCAGGGUACUACGAGCACAGCUUAAAACCCAAAGGACUUGGCGGUGCUCAGAUCCACCUAGAGGAGCCUGUUCUAGAACCGAUAACCCCCGUUAAACCUUACCAUCCCUUGUUUACCCCGCCUAUAUACCGCCGUCGUCAGCUUACCCUGUAAAGGACAAACAGUAAGCAAAAUGGGUCAACCCCAAAACGUCAGGUCGAGGUGUAGCGUACGAGAUGGAAAGAAAUGGGCUACAUUUUCUAUUACAGAAUACCACAGAUAGCGUCCUGAAAUAAACGCUUGAAGGCGGAUUUAGC
RNAcentral lists this ribosomal RNA (300 nucleotides) under Trichomycterus sp. RNAcentral describes it as "partial 12S ribosomal RNA". It matches the Rfam family "Bacterial small subunit ribosomal RNA", at positions 868 to 1336 of the family's 1533-position model. Lineage: Eukaryota; Metazoa; Chordata; Actinopteri; Siluriformes; Trichomycteridae. The record is from RNAcentral.